Molecule: long non-coding RNA, 758 nt
Filed under: Scleropages formosus (Asian bonytongue)
Lineage: Eukaryota; Metazoa; Chordata; Actinopteri; Osteoglossiformes; Osteoglossidae
Description: lncRNA (ENSSFOG00015030483.1)
Source: RNAcentral
CGCUCACAUGUUUAACAGAUAUUGUUUGCAAACUUUUGGAUUGUCGUACGCUUCAUGUCGGAAUAUCCUUUACAAAGCUUGGAUCUGAAAAGCUGCUGAUAUAUGGGGAAGAAACAGACUCCAUUUCCUCAUUUUGUCUUCUGGUAAGAGCUGUACCAACUAUGAAUUGCGUGAUGAUUUCAACUUGCGAUAACACUACCGGCAGCAUCUGAUCGCUGAAGGCAUACAUGCAAGUUUCUGAGCAUGAGCUGUGCUGUGUCAAACUCCAGCGAUGUUAGAAAGAAGAAAGGACAACCACUGAGCCAGAGAGAUUGGAAAAACAGAGCCAGGGAAAUCCUCGGCACUCCUGAUUUCCAUGGCCUGACUGCCUGCUGUCCACUACACAAUGUUAUUAUUAGUAUAGCUGAUCCAAGACAAUGAUGAUGGUGGCGAACUUCAGAAGAUCCACUGUGUUCAGUGGAACGUAUAUAGAGAAGAAGCAGAAGUGCUUGGAACACAUGAGGACUUGGGGGUGCAUCUAGUGAACCGGUUGGAGAGGACCUGCAACAUUCACGCUCUGUACAAGGGUGAGAGUCACCAUAAUUUUCUGAAGAGCCCCAGGUCUUUUGGAAGUAAGCAGAUCACUGCUGUAGAAGUGCUAUCCCUGUGGUCUGUUUCAGUGCAGGGAUUAAACUAUAUUUAUUUACAUUUACAUCUUUUCCUUUAGCAGACACUUUCCAAAAAACAACAUACACCUCAGAGGACAAUACGAAGAGCAC